This is a long non-coding RNA of Homarus americanus (American lobster), 275 nucleotides long. RefSeq lists it as uncharacterized. NCBI's taxonomy places the organism in Eukaryota, Metazoa, Arthropoda, Malacostraca, Decapoda, Nephropidae. The transcript is spliced from 4 exons. The record is from RefSeq and is a predicted model, not a curated record.
GAACUGGUGGCUAAGUGGUGCUCUGGAUGUCUUUUAUCAGGUGAAAGGUGAGGAUGAUUACACGGUAAAAGAAAAAAGUUAAAUGAUGGCUGGCCCUCAGAAAAGCUCUACAUAUGCUGUAUAACCCUUUGUGCACACGGAUAGCACAUUCCCCAGUCUGAUCACAUCUGUUGUGGGAUAUGUCCAAUACGAGUUAAUAAUUAAUUAAUUACAAGGUGAACUGGUGUGGUUAACAGUGCAGUUCUGAUGUCUUUUAUCAGGUAUGUUUAUUCUAA